This is a long non-coding RNA of Labrus mixtus (cuckoo wrasse), 15266 nucleotides long. RefSeq lists it as uncharacterized. Lineage: Eukaryota; Metazoa; Chordata; Actinopteri; Labriformes; Labridae. The transcript has 2 exons. The record is from RefSeq and is a predicted model, not a curated record.
CCCAGUUUCCGGCUCAUGUAACCCCGAAGUUAGAGACCAAAAAUACUCCUGCGUCCUACCUUUUAGUGAAAACUAAUAGAAACAGAUGGAAGUCUUAAAGGAAACACAAACACGGUAUCGUCAGUUUUAAAGAAAACAAUGUAAUAACUAAUCAGUUGGAGUGAUUACAACGCUCGUUAAGGUCAGUAAACGCACCGUUUUAUAAUUGAACAUGAUGCGAUUUAAGAUCAUUUUUAUGGGGAAAUAUAUCGAGAGAAAAAAAACGCAGAACAUAUUUUACAAAAAUAAAAGGCCCCACAAAGUCCCUGAUGGAUAUCCUGGACCCAUUAAAGGCUCCAGGUAAUAUUCAAAGUACUAAAGGUGCAAUAGUGCAGGCAUUAAACUUAAUGAAUACAGUGCAAACUGGUGUUAAAUCAAAGGUAAGGCUGAGAUGUGUUCAACGAUAUUAUAGCUCAGGGGUCAAACAAUAACCGUCAUUGCUUAAUAAUCAUUUCAAACCUUUGAUUAGUCAUAUUUCAACUUCACAGGCUUGUGAAAGAGUCACAGAUAAGCAGAGCUGAGGUUCUUUCUAUCUGAUGCACACAAUGAUGAGCAGCUUUCACAUGUCAUCUCUCUAUAAAAAACUAAAUGUGUGUGUGUGUGUGUGUGUCUCUGCUGGCCUAAUUCUAGUGCACAGCUCCUGAUAAAUAACUUUUAAAACAAAUCCCUUUUUUUAUUAUUUAGGCUUUUUUUUUAGCCAGAUCAAAAAUAGGCCAGAUGAAAGUAAUAAUACAAAAACUUUAAUUUAUUACAAAAUGAGUCAAUGUAAUUUAUUUCUCUUCAAAGCACACAUGAUGAAAAUUUAAUCGGCAACAUUACGAGCAAAUUGCUCGCAUCCUCCUUGAAUUUUUGGAAAAGAAACUGAACAAAAAACUUGACCGUUUCUGCCGAAACUCAAAAGUCUCCCUGAACAAACCUGAUCGAACGAAACACACGCGCUUCAUCACGUCCAACAACAACAACAACAACUGUGUCAGGUUAAGAAGAAGUUGUUUUGGAGGCCUGUGUCUAUAUCUGUCCUGACCCUAGCAUGCCGAACACAUACCUCACUAAUGAAUUUAGCAUCCUGACACAAGAUGCUUUAUGUAAUUAAUAGAGUGGAGGGGUACGCUGGUGGCAUCUCCGUGCUGCAAGUGACACAUAGGUAAGACAUUCGCUGAAGCAUGGGAUUUUUAUUUUAAAAGAGACCUAGGUGAUUAUUAAAACACACUUGAGGCAGGCCUGUAAAUGGCAUCACAGCAGACUGUGAGCGGUUCAUCUUUGCGUCACUUUCACUUAUUAAAAGGUUAAAACCAUCAUAGAUUAUUUGUAGGCUUGUUCAUAACGGAUCAGUGUCGGGAUAUUCGUUUUUACAAGCCUGCUAUUUCUUAUUACGUCUAUAAAGGAAAGUAGACACUUUGUCAAACAUAUUAAAGCUUUAAUUAAAGUCCUUGAAAAUGAAGGUGAGCUGCUACUGCAAACAAAAGAUAUAUAUUCAACUCUCACAUAUAUUUACGAUCCAGUGAAGAGUAUAGUUGAGUGUUUCUAGUGGUGAUGCACUCAACUAUCAUCACAGAUUCCCCUCCCGUCGCAGCCUACUAAAACACACACACACACACACACACACACACACACACACACACACGUGAUACAUCACAGAAAGCAGAUAAUAAGCACUCUGUCCAAAAGCUCUCCAUAUAUGCUGCAGGAGAGCACGAGCCAGCGCAGCUAUGAGAGCUGAGGGCCUAGUAAGGGAGGCUUGGUGGAAUGAGCCUGGUUUGAAUAAGCAGCAUGGCUACGGGUGAGCUCUGGGAGAGUCACCAAGUGUGCUGAUUAAAGUUGUGAUAUUAAACAGCGCUGGCUGCUCCUGCCUGCCAAGCCUCCCUCUCUCUCUCUCUCUCUCUCUAUUUCAGUGGCAUUUCACAUUGUUUAAAAGGCCCGAUCGGACUCAUCUCGCCACUUGCUGCUCGGUGUUGCUUACAACUUUUCAUUUUUUAUUUUCCACCUCCCGUGUCUCCCUAUUCUCUGUGAGCAGAGUCCUAGAUUUACUUUAAAUAAGCUUUUACUACAUUUCCCAGGUGCUUUUCUGCUCUGGGUCACUGGGUUCGCUCAGUCCUCGACUUGACCGUAGUGCUGAGUGCAUGUGUGUGUGUGUGUAAUUGUGAGCAUCAUAUAGAAAACUCUGCUGAAAAAAAAAAAAAAAAAAAAAAGCUCCACAUUGUGUUUACCUCUUCUGUGAAAGCUGAACUCCUAACGAACACACGGAGCGCUCCUUCUCGGAAACACUGCUCUGAACUCAUUCAACCCCUUUUAAAAGCGUCACUGCGAAACCCAAUAAAACUCUGCCAUUAUAAAUAUACAAUUCAUAAAUACUGGAAAGCAGGCGCGCUUUCUGUGAAAUAUAUGGCCCGAGCCCUUUUGAAAAGGUCACACUUUAAAAGACGCUGUGGUCACUCUGACUUGUUGGAUUGCUUAAGCUGCUACUGAACAGAUACCAAAAGUUAUUGCACCAAAAUCGCAACUCAGGGAGCCAGCGAGUGUUGUAGUUUGAUCUCAAAAGUCUGGAAUGGGACGUACGAAGAUUAAGCUAGUGAGGGAGGGAGGGAGAGAGAGAAAGAAAAGGCAGCAAGAAAAGUGAGGGACUUUUAGGGGCAGCUGUGUUUUAUUAACCCAGUCAUAAUGCCCCUAAAAAUCCUUAUUGCUCUUGCAAUGGUCAACAAAUCUCCUGUUACAACAUGAAGAGGAUUUCAGAGUGGGCUUUAGGGAUUCUUAUCAAAAACCUGUUGCACUUAACAGCUCACUGAAAAAUGUACGCUCUGGUUGAUAGGCUUCAUCUAGAGAGUUUAGCAUGAAUGGAAGUAUGCAAUCUAGUAAGAGUUACUGAAGUCGAACAGUAACCUUUGUCAAAAGUUUCUCAACACGUUUGCUGAUGCAGAUUAGCUCAAAGUUGUACUGAGUUAGCUGAAACAGAACAAUGCCAAUGUUUCCCUUCGGGGAACUUAUCAAACAUGCUUCUCUGAAUAUCUGCCCAAGUCUUCAGAGUUUAAAAUGCAGACGAGGGAGUCGAGGCUCCGUGUCCUUUGGUGUUUUGACUUUGCAACCGAGUGCCAAGGGACGGAUUGUGAGACACAGACAGAGAAAAAAAAAGAAGGUCGGCAGGUAGACUGAUAAAUAAGACAGGCUGACGGCAGACGAAAAAAAAUAAAAAUCAGAGUGGCUGGUAGAAAUACAGGCAGGCAGAUGGGAGCGUAAGACAGGUAAAUAAUGAGACAUCCUGACAAGACAGCAGCCGUUCAGCCAGAUAUAGAAAAUGGCAACCAGGCGGGGAGGAGGAGACAGACAUAGGAAGGAAAAAGAGACAGGUUAAUACAGACUUGAUAGAAAGAGAGGCAUGGAAGAAAGCAGGCCGUGGAGGGCUGCGAUCCAGGCCUGGGUGUGGUGAGGUGGGCUGUCCUGGCUAAAGGGCGGGUGGUGUCUAGAGGAGCUCUCAGUGUUGGUGAGUGAGUCAUCAGAAGGAGGCUAUUCUGUCGACUCUCCCGGUGGGACGGGUCCUUCUGCUGAAGGAAGCAAGGAAGAUUCCUAUUCAUGUCAAGGGACAGAGAGGGAGAGAGAUAGACAAGGGGAGAGGGAAAGUGUGGACGAUGACUCAGGGCCACGAACCACAUGGUGACGGAGGAGGGAGGGAGAAAUUACUCAUCAGAGCAUGUGGAAUCUCAUACGGCUAUCACAGGACUGACAGCGUGCUUCCCCCAUGGCUGUUGCUCAGCCGCCAUGCAGCCGCCAUGACUCCCUCAGGCUCCAACCGAACACUGAUCAGCCUCGCUUUUCACCGAACGAGAACAGAGCGAAGGUGGGGAUCAGGGUGAGCCAGGGGUCAAAUUCACACAGGAAGGUUUUUCUUUUUAAUAAAAUGAUUUUUAUCAGAGCCGGGUCCCUGCCAGUCAGGGCACCUUGGGGCGUCACGAGGCACUAAACUGAGAGAAUAUUUGUGCUUUUAUCAGAGCUGAAUCCAAUCAAAAAGUGCACAGUCACUUGACAUUUUUUCCCCCAAAUAUUGUAGACUUCAGUCGCCUGGCUGUCUGCAGCUUCUGUGGAACAAUUGCAUGCUAAUAAAUGUUGCACCAUUUUCUGACAAGGAAGUUUGAAUACAAACAAAAAGGGCUGGAUAACCCUCCAGAUUAGCAUGUUUUCAUCUUUGAGCUUCAAGUGUCUGUGCUGGCUGUGAGAAAUAUACAUCAAAUCAUAGCGCUACUGUAGUGUAAAGAAACACCCGAGCCGGGGAAGCCAGACUGGUUCAAGUCCUGGUUUUAUUAAGAAUGUGAACUACAAUGGAGUGUAAAUAUUGAGGUAUUUUGAAACAGGAGUUUCUUCUCAAGCCUCUGUCUGCUUAUAUUUGAGUUUUAAAUCACAAUAAGUCGGCACAGGUCUCUCUGCUCUCGCUCCAAAUUCAGCAAUCCUGACAAAAUAUUUUACAAGGGGAACCUUUUCAAAAGGAGAAGCUUUAAAAAUAUGCAUCCACUGUACAUGGUGAACAGAGGGUGACAUUUGAAGUCCAGUAGCUUCUAUUCUCCUCUGACACUCAGCUUACAAAACAGCUCUUUCAUGGCUCAUGAUAAAUGUGCCACUACAGUCAGCUCCUGGAUGACAAAGUUGUAUUGAGUGAUGACAAGACAGAGAAUAGAAACGGGUGAAAGGUCUACCGAUGCGACAUGCUCCAUAGCUUCUCUUUAUCUUCUUGAGACUCAGCUGCAAUGAACCUGCACAUGUCCUGGUAUACGAGUGGCGUUGUUAGGUGUUAACACACGAUGGUGAACUCAUUCCCCCUGGUCUACUUUAUAUGUGUGUAAUGGUCCUAUUAACUGGUGGCUUAAUUCGUAGGGAGCAACCUUAAAUAUAAGUUUAAGCAGACAAAAAGGAUGAUGAGUCUACCAUGGUGGCAUGACUCAACAGGUGAAAGGACCACGCCCAAAGGGGCCCCCCCGCUUACCAGUGGCGGCACAGUCCCAGAUCUCUCUGUAACCGAGGUUGCCAUCAGGGUGUGGGCUGACGCUGCUCCAACACCCGAAGAACCACUCAAAUCCAGAGCAAACACUGCACACAAAAGCGAGAGGGCAAGAAAAACUGGAGCAGACCUUCCCUGUGUGGAUCCAUCUCGUUUGAAAGAGCGAAUGAACCCUCCUGACCUGCUUUUAGCCAAUCAGCCUGUCAGACAAGGCUUUGGUGUGACAAGAGUCAACAGACAGGAGGGUGAUUAGGCGUAAUACUUUAAGCUAAAUUAAUGUGAUGCUGUGGUGGAUCCUCAGCCUGGAGCUUGUUGCACCAGGUAUUUUUAAGUUCAGGUUUAGUAUAUUCAUUGAGAGUAUGCUAAUGGAGAGCUUCUGUAUGUAUAACUUUAUUAGAGAGUAGUUACUUAAUAUUGACACCCAAUAACUGCCAGGUGUAGGGCUUGCAUAGCUAACUGAUAUAACUAAUAAAGCUAACAUUAGCCUGCUAAUAGGGGACAUGGUUAAAUUAAUUAUGACCAGAUUGUUGAUAAAUCAUCUGAAGAUUUACAGUAUUGUAAGUAACACAACAUAAAAAAAAACAGCUGUUCUGUUUAGUUAGUUAACUAAAUGUGUGGACUUAAGGUGCAUCCCAAGUCUCUUAGGUUGCAUCCAUGCAUCCUUCACUUGCUUCUUAGUCCCUCUCACCAGAGAUGCACGAGGAAAGGAAGCGAAGGAGAGAGGGGGAACAAGGUAACAUGAUUUCAAGAGACACGAGACGACCUUUUUCCUCCGUAGCGUCAGGGGAAGCGACGUCCGUUUGUGACGAUGACAUCAGCCGAUCACCGCUCAGCCGUCGGUCGGCUUUAACAGCCGUUCGUGUCUGUGUUAACUAUUUGUUAUUUUAUGAUUCAUUUAAAAAUAAUAAUUAUUUGAUUAGUAUUUACUAAUUUACUGUCCCUAAAAUUAUUUAUUAGGUUUUAAAUUUCAGGAAAAUAUUAAAAACAGAAAACAAUUCUCAAACCCAAUACUUAUUAAUGAUCGGCCUUAUGUGAACUUUAUGGACAGGACGAUGAAUGUAAGAAGUGUUUCUUAGUGACAGGCUCCGACUCGCUCAGAUUUAUAUUCUCUUCAUAAUAAAAUUAAAAAGGGCAAACGACCGACCACAAAGAGAGAAUAUUUAUACUUCUCUUUUACUGUUAAUAAACUCUAGUGUUGUGAAGUUUGAUUCACUGCAGCGUCCAAUCAAUGAUUGAUAUCCAAUAAGGGGGCGUGUCUUAAAGUAAAAAGACUUGCUCUCGUGAAUCCUCUCAUCGCCCCUUACAUUUCCCUCCUCUCCUAUCUCCUCCGAGCAGCUUCAGCUUCAUUUAAGAGACUUGAGAUGCGCCUUUACACAGCCCGCUUAGCAAAGGCAGCUGGUUAGCAGCGCAGCAGCUCCAGUGCUUUUUCAUAGCUCGUGUAAUAGCUUGAUAGAUUAGAAUGUAAUUGUUCUGUCGAGAAUCGAGAAACGUCCCUCCUUUGUCAACAUCUUAAAUCAAUCUUCAAAUAGGUUGGCAUAGUCCGACUUCCCCCACUUGUUUUAAAAUGCAUGAACACUCCAAACUCCAAAACAAACACAGUUCUUCACGAUUAAACAAAACAAAUAAACUCAAAUAAAGACAGUUUAAACAGCCUUGUCCAUCUUACUGCUACGUACUAUCGUUAAGUUUGAAGGAUUAAAUCAAGACUGUGUUGACCACUGCAGUAAAUUUAGGCAAUAGGUGACCUUAUGAUUCUAGAGAGGAUCAGUUAGGAAGUGUGUCACUGUUUCUAACAUAUGUAUCAAAAUGAGGUCUUUGGACUCAAGGGUCAGAACUGUGUACACACACAUGUAUACUCAGUCACACACUCAUACAGAUAUUUAACUCUUAAACUUCCCACCUCUCCUUUACACACUGUUUGCUUUUUUAUAAGGAAUGUCAAACUGGAUUCAGCUUUCCUGCACUGCCUGGCUGCAUUCAGUUCAGUCGGCAGCUGGGUCUCAUCUUCCACUGUUUGCCUUUGUGAUUAUCUUUGAAUAUACAUAAGCAGAGAGCCGUUUCAUACAACGCUGCCAUGUUGAUGUUUGUUUUCUGUGAAAUAAUUUGCUAUAGUGUGAGGAGAAAUGCAGAGAGGUGCCCUUGCUUGAGUUCAGCCUAAAUAUUUGAAAAGUCACUCCUCCUUUCUUCUCCGCCAUCCUUUGCCAAACACAGACAGGGGGGGGGGUCAGUUUCCAGUUGUUUUCUGGCUGUUUGGGGUCAACGAUGCAUGCUGGCAGACCUCACAGGCACUUUCUCUUUGCAAUGCAUUGCAAAAUGUGUUGCAGGCUGAACUCGACUCAGCGUUUGUGUGCCCCAGUGUUGAGUAACAAUGAGCUCCGCAGGGCGAUUGGCACAUGUCUGUUUGAUGCUGCAGAUACAGUCAUGCCAUUGUGUGGAGUCAGCAAGUGAAAUGUGUGUGUGUGUGUGUUCAUGUGUGUGUGUGUGAGGAAAACUGGGUGUUUGUUUUGGCAGAAAGACCAUUUGCCAAAGAAGGGAUGCCACUGCCAAAACAUCCCCAAAGAACCUCGGUGGAGAGUGUUUUAUCUGCCAAACCUCUCCAGCAGUAAUAUAAUGGAAAAGGUGGCCAUUUUACUCCCAACACCCACCUCUUCACAGCUCUUUUGUGAGCGAGGAGAGCUAAUGGUGGGCUGUGGUAGGCCUUUUUUUAGUGCAGUGUUUGAAAAUGAAAGGACUGCAAUGUAGGUUAGCUGCUGUUCCUCCAAUGUUCUUCAACAAUCGUAGUUGACAAGAGGAUGAAGAGCAUUUUCGGCUCUUCAAGGCCAUGGCACUGCCUCAUGUUAGCGCUGAUCAUUUGGUCUAUACUACUGCAGCUCACAUUAGGUCCCAUUGUCCGGCCUGAGCCAACAUCCUCCACUCCAGAGGGCCUGUGUGCCAUAACCACAGAGCUCAGCUUGGCUCUGUGGUUAUUUAAAAAAAAAAAAAGGAAAAGCCCUCUUCCCAAAAAACCUUCUUCCAUUACAGAAAAGAGGUUUUCCGCUUCUAUCAAAGCUGUCAAUGGAAGCUAUUCAAGCCACUUGGAAAACAUCAAUUGCUGCUUUAUUUUGCUCUUCAUGUUGGGCAAAUCAUCAGUAAUUGGGACAGCGUGAUCCCUUCAUAGUUGGUUUUCAGAAGAAAAGGGAGAUUGUGUUGUCUAUGCACGAGUCUUCACACCCAUGAUGAUCUUAAGUGUUGUAUUCACGCAUUGUUGAUCUGCAGAGCAUGUGUUCAGCUGGCAGUUCUGUGAAAUACCCUCAUCUGUGCUGCUUUUUUCUAACCGUAAACCCAAGCAGCUGAUGUGAACAUGAAUAAACUGCUCGCGUGAUGAGCUUACCUUGCCAUGUGCUGAAAUGAAGCGUUGUUUUAUGUUGGCACUGGGGCCGAUAGGAGCCGCAUUGUGACAGGCAGCCCCCGAGGCGACUUGCAGCUCAGCAAUGUGCCUUCUUGGACCUUCCCUCUCAUUCCUGGGCAUCAGAACAGUUGCACAGCACCCGUCUGACUCCAAAACCAACAGUUUUAGAAAUGUCUUUACUUCUGACUAUUACUACUUUACUUCAAACUAUUCAGAUGCACUUUCAUGUGACUCUCUUUUGGGUUGACAGAGUUUUAUUUCUCUUCCUUAAUGCCUCUUGUGUUUCUUUGUUUUACUUGGCUCUUUUUGACUUGACUCAUCUCCCUGGCAUGUGGGAUGGGUUAUUUUGGGCAGUGUGGAUGUGUGAAUGUAAGCAAUAUGCAUACAGUAGGACUACAUGCAUGAAAGGUGUGCGUAUAUUUGAUGUCAGAUUGAUGGUGACAAAUUCCCCUUGACAAGUCAUAUCACUACUGUUGCAGUGACUACUUUCCAAAAGAUGCUUUUUCUGUAACACAUCCUGGUCGUUAUCAACUUAUCAACAAGACUUUUUUGGGGAAUACUCUUAUUCAUUAUCUUACACUGAGUUAGUUUAGAACACCUGUCCCACUCUUAUGUCUACACAGUAAAUAUAGAGUAACCUGAAGCUGCCCCUUAGCUUAGCUUAGCAUAAAGAAGGCAACCUUCAUGCUAGUCUGAGCAUGAGCCAAUGUUUAACUAAAGUCCAUGCUAAAGGGCCAUUUCUUAGGUCUCUUAGGUCUCACUUGUCAAGAUAGGAAUCUAAAAAAAAGAGCAUUUUAAUCUAAUAAGUUUAUUGUAAUGAAUACAUUUUGGCAAUUUAAAAAAAUAUACAACAUUCAGUUUCUCCCAUUGGCUGAAUGAACCCUGGAUGAUGUCACCAAUUUGUUACUGAACAGGGCUUUGGAAGCCCGCCGAUGGCGGUUGCUAUGCUGGACAUGCUGUCUCAACCUAACUUUCAGUCAACUUAUUGACAGAAAGAGCUGGAAAUGAAACAGUUCUCAAACCUCCUGACAAACGAACAGCACUUAUCCUUCAUAACCUCAAAACAGAUGAUUUAUUAAAAAAAAAAACACCCUCCCUCAAUGUGUGUCGAGCCAGCCUUAAGCGAACACUCAAGUUACUGCAGGUUUUUGCACUUCCCCGUUAGCUUUAUUUUUCAACACUGGAGUUUGCCGCUUGUGGCAGGAAACGUGGAGAGAGAAAUUGGGGGAUGACAAGGCCAGGAGUCAAACCUUCACCAGGGGGCUGAAUUUCUUUUAAUAACUCAUCAAUUUAGAUUUUUUUGAAGGAUAAGAGUUGUACCUAAUUAGGGGCGUGACUGGUUUGACUGCAAGCGGGAACACUGUAGCUAAAUGUCACGAGGGCUUAAGGCCCGCCUCAGCUGCACUUGGUUGGUUACUUGGUUGAGAUGGCUUUUUCAAUAUGGCGACCGACAUUGACAGGCUUCAAAGUGCACUACAGAAAACCAAUGGAUGAUGUCACUGAGACAACAUCCAUGUGUUAUAGACUGUGGUCUAGACAGGGCCAUUUUUAGAUGGCCCUUUUCAAAAUUAAGAGCUAGCAGGACCCUUAACUGUAGCCAAAAGCUGCCUGUGUGCAAGAUUGUGUUAUCCCUGUAUGGCUUCUUCUACAGCAUUAGUAAUAUCACCUUUAUUCACUUUAAUUAAAUUAAAUCUUUUUUUGUAAAUGUUUAUCAAUCUAAAAAAAAAAAAAGAAGAGGGGCCUGAUUGGUCUAAGGUAACAAAAUCUGCCAACCAGCACCUCCUAAGCUCCCUGAUUGACACUUUUUUAAUUAGUUUAAAGCAAACUUUCACCUUCAAGUGUUUCUCUGUUCACUGUGUGAUCUCUCCUUUCAGACGGUCGGCUGAUAUUUCAGACCGUCUGUGUUCAUUGUCAAAUAGCCUCUGGCUUUAUAAAGUGAGGGGUGAAUGAAGACGUCUCAAGGUAACAUCGAAGAAGCCACAGAGGAGAAAGGAGCUCAAAUUGAAUGCAACAACAAAGCCCUUAAACUGUCUGCAGAGUCCUGGAAACAGCUACAGGUGUUUCAUAAAUUUAUGUAUUAUCAAAAACAUACAAACAUUGAUCACAACCGCCAAGCUGUGUUUGAGGAUGGGGUUUGGGUCAGAGGGGGGUUACGUUUGGAGGUAAGAUUACAUUAACUCCCCCAUUACAUGUUAACCAGCAAUAAAAAUAAUAAUACAGAAUGCUUUGAUAGCACAGUCUGUAUAUAAAAGAUAUUAAAGAAUCUCAGUGAUGCAUUAUUACUUGUAUUAUUAGAAACUUAUUCUUGUAUCCAAUAAACUGUCCUCCAGGAAUAUCUAACACAAGUCCAACCAUUCUUUUGUCUGAGUCUUGCAGCUCUGUCUGAAGAGAUUCACCAGUGACUGCAUUGUCUCACCUAAAACAAUCCAAUUCACAACCACCAAUACACGAUCAGGUCACAUUAAAUCAAACCUCAAACUCAAUUUUCAAACUGUUAAUGCAGAGAGGAUUAUCAGUUCUCCUGGAGUUGGCUGCUCACGACCUGCAUACUUUGAGACUAUGCAUCACACUCAACAAGCCCCACAACUGUAAUGUAAGCAAGCCGUUUGUAAUGUUAUACCCAAACUUUCACAUCGACUGAAACUAACCUCCUGAUUGAUGGAGCUUGUUGGCUCUACACCUGAUUUAAUUUGAGCGCAGAACGCUCUUGUGGUAUUUAUAUUUAACAUCACUGAACACAGAAAGUGUCAAACUACAAGAGGUGACGCCAAAAAAAAAACAAAAACUAGACAAUGUUUUGGGGGGAGCUAUGUGCCGUCCCAGAGGUUGCGUCAGAUGUCUUCCACUAUGACACAGUGUGGAAAAAACAAGUUAUUGUUGUGUUUGAAGCUCAUUUCCAUUCUUGACACCAUACAUCUGUCAGGUUUAAUGCUGUGUCCUAAAGUCUGAUUCUGACAGCUCAACACCCUGACGCCAUUUAAACUGAACAUAAUAAGGUUAUCAGAACGUUUGAUAAUUGGAUACAAAACUAACACAAUUUCUAUUCUUUACCGUUCCAUAGUAUGGAAGAGUUCAAAGGAUUAAAAGUACCCUACAAAUCUUCAGUUACAUUUCAACCCAAGGCUGCUGGGAUUCAAAGAGAGAGAAACUAUCUAAGCUGCGUAAAUACAUUGGCAACAUUUGGUUGCAGAAACAUUGGCAAUGUAUGAUGGGUAUUGACGGUAGUUAUAAACAAGACAUUUCCCAACAUUGGGAUCCUAGGACAUCUAUUUUUGUUGCCAUGGUAUCGAAAUAAGUCUCAAUAUCAUUCCAAUCAGUUCUACUAGCGUUAAAAUUCUGGUAUUGUGAAAAUCCUUGCUAAGUAACAUAACAAGGACUUAUUUGGGUCAACUCGAGCUAGACGCUGCAACACUUCUGCAUACUUAUAUCCUCUGUGUCAUUUUGGGAGUCAUUUCAACUUUCAACCUGAUCCACCCUCAGUUGUGAAAACCUGUUGGGAGCUGUGUUGAAACUCUGGCUAGACUCAACCCAAUUUUUUUUUUUUUUUUUUACUGAUGUAAGCUUGUAACCAGCAUGCUAACUGUCUCGUUCUUUGUUUGAUCUGCCUGGCUCGGACUCAGAGGGAUGUGCUGUGUUGUGUUUCAGGCAACAAGAUCAUUAAGUGGUCACAGUCCAAAUGUCCUGGAAGUGCACUAUAUUAAUACGACGCUUCUCUACUUCACAGCUUCUUUGUUUUUGUUCUUCUUCCUGGCAACCAUCACACAGAAAGCUUUGGAGUAUGUGUGAAUAAAGGAGACAUGCAUGCUUAAUGAGCAGAAGUAAAAACAGCUUCAGUCUUUGUUUAUUCCUCACAGUAGCGCUGCCUAGUGAACUGAAUGUCAAGGCAGUGGAAUAACUGAAUUAAGUUGUCUGUUAAAAUGAAGGAACGAACACGGACGUUUGUUAUUGUGUCAGCCAGAUCGUAUCUGUUUAAUUUCAUACUUUCUAAUUUUUUUUUAAAAGUCUGAAACAUCUGCACCCAAACAUUUCACAUUUCCCCCUCCUGAACUCACCUGCCACACAGAUUAACAUCUGACUACAGCUUGCCAGAAGCAUAGGAGUCCAUGUGAGAUGUGGACAGUCACCUCUUGUAACAUGUGCAGUGUCAGAGAGUCAACGAGAAAAGUAAUACAAGAAGCAAAGAACAGCCCUCUGCUCUCAGAUUUACAACCGUGGGGUCAGCAGUGGAGCUGGAGCAGAGUGGUGCAGAGCUCUCCUCUUCCUCCCUCCUGGCCUCCUUCGCCUUCCCUGCUCCCACCCAAUUUUUUUUUUUCUUUUUUUUUGGUGCUCUCUUGUUACUGUAUAUGGGUCAUACUCGCGAUUGAAUGUACAUGCUGGUAAAUAUGUUCUCUGUUCCCAGGGAGUGUGUGGAAAUAAGUGCUCAAACCUUUACCUUUAAGUGAAAUGAGUAACACAGCGGAUCAAUGCUGCAUUUAAAGUAAAGGUCAGGCUUUUUAACUGAGCGUAUAUGCAACGUACUGUACAUUCAUCUUAGACUUUUGUGUCACUCUUCAAGUUUCAAACUUUUUCCUGAUCUUUUAGCCCGUCUGUUAAACAGUUUUGAUGUCGUUGAACUCAAACAGGGGAUCAUAUUUGAUGAGCUUGUUUUAUGUAUUAACCUGUAAAAAAUGUUCUUCCUCAAACUUCAGACUUGUGCUGUCAUAACAUUUUCUUUUGUAUAAAACUGUCUAGGAACCUGGGAAAGUGUACUUUGUCACGCUCCACUUCUGCUCCUUUCACAUUUGUUAUCUGUGUGUACUGUAUAUGUGUGUGUGUGUGUGUGUGUGUGUGUCAAUGCUCGAGUAGCCUAAGUCUUAUGUAAUCAUUUACAGUAUAGAAUCUAUACAGUGCACUUUGUCUCAGGGUUUGUUCCUCGCCCUGCAGUCCCUCCCUGCAGUUAAUUUUGUUAAAUAGGGAAAAUGGAAGAGUAAUUAUGGCAUCGUUGCCACAACAAACUUAAUCACAGUGCGAGGUAAUAUUUACUGGUAUGUGAUAUCACUCUGCUAAAAAUAAACUGUGAAAGCAAGACAACUUCUGCCUUUUUUUAAUUUUUUUAAUUUUUUUUAAAGAAGCUGCAAAAGGAAACAUGUUGGGUUUUCCAGUCACUGAACAUCUUUCUGCAUGUUGAGUUAAGUGUGUGUGUGUUUGUGUUGCCACUAGUUUACCUGCGCUGCACCCCCUCCUCCCCCUCCUCCCCCUCACACACACACUCCCUGUGAGAAGUCACCACAAUCUCAGGCCGAGCAGGAAGGCAGGAUGUUUUUGAUGAAGCAGUGGGCUUAAUUUAGGUCCAAGCAUUCUCAGUAUCUGUCACCCAACUCCCAACAUUUGCAACCGACAGCGCGGGAGGCAUGUGUGAGUUGGUGCUCAUGUUUAUCCAGGCAGGCAGGUUAUAAAUUCAAGAAAUGUACACCAACACUUAGCCAUGCUAAAAAGACAAGAAUACCUGCACUAUGUUAAGACUCGCCCGUCCUCUUUUUUACCCUCUAAAUAAAAGAAAACAUGCUGAUUUUCAACAGUCUAUUGUGUGGUAUUUUGUCUCUUUUGAGAGUAUUUUAUACUAAAAAUCCCAUUAACCCUGCCAAACACAAAAUCUUGACUUCUUAUUCUUAAGGAAUUGGCUCGGUUUUAGCUCCUCUUGGCCAUAAAAUAACCAAACAGGCGUUUGCAAUGCCAACAACCUCUGCCAGAGACUUCUGCUUGCACCCACUGUUCUCUCACUGGUACAUAGAGACGUUUAAAUGCUUUCUCCUUUCAAUUACAGCAUUUUAACGCCUGUGUGAAAAAUGUUUUUAUUAAUAAGAAUGAGCAAAGUAUGUCGUAAUUUAGCUCCAAAAAUGUCCAAGGUAAUUGCACGAGCUUCGCCCUCUCUCUCAGUCUGCAGUUUAAUGUUUGAUGAACACAUGCACACUUUGAAAUGGGCAAUGUGGUUCUUUAAAAAAAAAAAAAAACAACUAAAAACCCGUAAGGGAAUCUGGUGCCGCUCUGACCUCGGAGCUCAUCGCCAUUCGAGUGUUGCAUUAAAAUGAACGUGCUCCGACUUGUGAAGUGACUGCACCGGGGCGCUGAGAGGGGAGGCGUGUGGUCGUCAUGCAUCCGUAACGAGUGGAAAGAAAGGAAGACCACACAGCAGCACGGUCAGAUCAGGUUGUCAGAGACCAUAUUUAAAAAUCUGGGUCGGACUCCAAAACCAUAACCUCUCUCUCUCUCUCUCACUGUGGCUCUCCAUUCCCUCCUCUGCACCCCAUUUCUCCUUCAUCUCUUCCCACUCCUUGUCUCCUCUUCUUCCUCACACAGCUUUAUCUCCUCCUCACACACUUAACAUACCCACACAUCUUCAUUUCAUUCACUCCUUCUCCUCUUUCUGUUUCUUGCCCAGAAUGCCCAGCGUGCUGUCCACUAAGGAAGCAGCUUUGUGUUUUCUUUUGGGGAUACAAAAUUUGGAUUAAGAUUAUUUUAACCUUUAAUAAUCGUACGAUCUAAAAAUGUAAUUUCAAAUCUUAAUUAAUGUAAAUACAAGGGCAGAUUUUAAACUAUUUUGCUCUUCUCCCAUGAGGAAUUAAAAAAAUGUGAAGCUUGUGAGGAACAGUUCUACAAUUCAUUUAGCAGACGCUUUUAUUCAAAGCUAGGAGCAGCCAUGUGCUUCAUAUGAAGGUGCGAAGGCAGCCAGAUGAGUCGUAAGUGUUACAUCAAAGCGUUUCCAAUGAAAUGACAAUGAGAAUGAAAACCUUCACAGCUGUGGCUGCAGAAAUUCGACACAUCAUGACUUAAACUUCAGGUACCUCUAAUACAUGGUACACAAGGAAAGAAAAAAGAAAA